RNAcentral lists this ribosomal RNA (383 nucleotides) under uncultured bacterium. Its description in RNAcentral is "bacterial SSU rRNA". It matches the Rfam family "Bacterial small subunit ribosomal RNA", at positions 28 to 414 of the family's 1533-position model. The record is from RNAcentral.
GACGAACGCUGGCGGCGUGCUUAACACAUGCAAGUCGAGCGGUGAACCACUUCGGUGGGGAUCAGCGGCGAACGGGUGAGUAACACGUGGGCAACCUGCCCCUAGCUCUGGGAUAACCCCGGGAAACCGGGGCUAAUACCGGAUACGACCUCGAGCGGCAUCACUCGAGGUGGAAAGGUUUACUGGCUAGGGAUGGGCCCGCGGCCUAUCAGCUUGUUGGUGGGGUAACGGCCUACCAAGGCGACGACGGGUAGCCGGCCUGAGAGGGCGACCGGCCACACUGGGACUGAGACACGGCCCAGACUCCUACGGGAGGCAGCAGUGGGGAAUAUUGCGCAAUGGGCGAAAGGCCUGACGCAGCGACGCCGCGUGAGGGACGAAGG